AAUCUUAGCGGCGCCUGGGUGGCUCAGCCGGUUAAGCCGCUGCCUUGGGCUCAGGUCAUGACCCCAGGGUCCUGGGAUCGAGCCUUGCAUCGGGUUCUCUGCUCAGUGGAGAGUCUGCUUCUCCCUCUCCCUCUGCCUGCCGCUGCCCCUGUUUGUGCUCACACACUCUCUCUGUCAAAUAAAUAAAAUCUUAAAAAGAAAUCUAGAAAAAGAGAAAGAAAGAAAAGAAAGAAAGAAAGAAAGAAAGAAAGAAAGGAAAGAAAGAAAGAAAGAAAGAAAGAAAGAAAACCGAAAAAUCCAGGAAUGUUACAAGAAUUUAGGUGUGGUGCAGUUUAGGAUCAGAGGUGGCAUCUCUAAGUUGUGAAGGAAAAAUUCAGUGAUUUACACUGUACUGCAGAGUAGACACCAAAUGGCUAAAGAUUUAGCUGUGGAGAAAGAAGAAGAAAAAGACCUAGGGGAAGAUUUAGGAUAUUAUUUUAUAACCUCACGGUGAAGUGCUUUCUACCUUUGACUCAACAUCUGAAAAGUAUUAAAAAAAAAAAACUGAUGAAUAGAAUGAUAUGAAAAAUGACUUUUUACAAGUUUAUUUAUUUAGUAACCUCUAGGCCCAGUGUGAGGCUCGGCCCCCACCCCUCCCACCGAGCCAACCCGGCGCCCCUAAGAAAUAACUUUCAGUGGAACCUUAAGCACCUGGCAUCAUCACCCUGAGCAAGGCCCAAAGACAGCUAUCCAACAGAAGAAAAUAUUCAAGGCUUAGAGGACAGACAGAGGGCCAACCCCCUUAAUAUGUAAAGUACAGCUACAGGCCCAACCGAUUCACCUAGCCAGAAAAGGGCCGAAGUCCGUGAACAGAGAGAGUUCAGAGGGAGAAGAAACGUGGCGCUCACACACAGGAGAAGACACUCGGCCUGAUUAGAGAAGUACACAGCAAAACUGCGCUGAGGUACCCUUUCCACCACCUCUAAGAAAUGGCCCUCUCCCCCGCCACCUCCCGAUCUGCCCGCCCCGCGUCGCCCAGAAGCAAUCCCACUCGGCCGCCGCCGCGCGGAGUUGCCGGCGAGCCUGGGGAAGGAGGGGCCGCCUGAGAAGGUCCGCCGCGCUCUCGCUCUCGCUCUCGCUCUCGCUCUCGCUCUCGCUCUCGCUCUCGCAGUCGCUGUCCCCGAUCCGCCGAAAUUCAAGGCACUCUCGCGGCGAGGGUGGCCGGGACCAUCCCGCCGCCGAGGGCACAGGCGGCACAGGACCGGCCUCCGCAGAGCGCAGUGUGCAGGCACUGGGGUCCGUGCGUGUCGAUCAGAGUGAGUCUCGCCGAGGAAACGGGAACUGUUCCGUUCCGCGAAUGUCAUCUGGGACAUCCCGUUCUCGGGACGGACCCGGCCGGGGCCCCGGACUCUGGGGCGGAAGACUGCCCGAACGACACGGACGCGAGCGGAGAAGUGCCGAGUAGGGAGGGCGCGCCGGGCACUGGCUGAGCGUGUGGGAGGCAAGAUCCCAUCCACCGAAGCGCUUGCUGAGUGUGCGAUUCGGAGUGGCUGUUGGGCGCGGGCCGGCCGGGGCAACCAGGGAUACUCGGAGGUCUCUCGUUCCGAGGGAAGAGAAGGAACCGUCUGCACAAACGUCUAGUGGUACGGAUGGAACUGUCGACGACGCAAAGGAAACGAGGCCAGGAGUGAGGGCCUGGGUUCUCACCGUGACUUGAAUAUGGAUGAUGGGAGGCCGGUGCCCAGGCGGCGGGGGCGGAAGGCUUCGCUUUCCGGCCAUGUGGGUUCCUCUGGCUGCUCGAUAAACAACGGUGCUGUGGAUCCUGGCUCAUACUCAAUCUCAGAAAGCAUAGCACCAGGCUCACGUGGCUCACCUUGGCGCCCGGUAUGCCGGGGAAAACCGGACAUCGUCAGCGUUUGCUACCGGGCACCCAAGAGGCCCUUCCACGAGAGUUUCCAGGUUCUGAAGGUCUGAAUACCUGAAUCUUGCGACAUGCUCCGAAUGCCAGGAACUGCUCGUUGGCUUGUCCUACCCGGCCUGCGGGAUACCGCCUCCGGACCUCAAAUCCAUCCCCAACAGGUUCGGCCUCACCACGACUUCUGGUCCUUCUUGCGCUUGCAUUGUCAAAAGACAUGCGGUCGGAGAUGUCCCUCGUGUAAUCCCGUUCACCGUCCUCAUUAGAGACCAGUCCUUUGCUUUCAUCUUCUGAUUCCUCUGCCGGUACCGUCAUGAUCGGUCUCACGGAAAUGGGCGCCUCUGGCCGUGUCCUUCUCUUUGUCAUCGGGGGUGGAAAGAUGAAAAUUUCCCAAUUCUCGCUUGCAGUCAGCAAAAGCAAAAUCGAGCCUUCGGAGAUGGUGUCUCCCGCCUGCUUGUCUACCUUCGGGAAAGGGGAAUGCGUACUUUGUUACCGCAACAAGGCAAGGAGAAAACGGAAGGAUGGUGGGUGCCACGGCGACGACUUGUUCCGCGACCGCUGCAUCACCCCUCUGAGGGAUUCCUUCAUUCCCCCAUUUUCCUGAUCCUUGUAGACUUUUUCGUCCUAGCUAUGGAUGGAGGAAUAAGUGCAGGCAGGCCGAAAUACGCCUAGGAUGACGACACGGCAAAUCGUGUCGAGAUACGGGGAAAGUUAGAUCGCGAAGACGCCGUGAUGUGUCUUCGGUUUUGAGAGAGAGGAAAGCGGCGGCAGGAGCUGGCCCGCCACUCACAGCUAGCCGUGGUGGUCUCCGGUUGGACAUACACGGUUUCGCCCAGCAGUGGCAACCUUAAAAAUAAAAUAGCCAGUUAUUUUCCUAGCAAAAUGAGUCUGUUCGGGGAUGGCAGAGGCAUUGCAGUUAGGGACGGACAUGCAAGCUAGGGGGGAGCCUACAGGCAAGUCCGAAGAGGCAAAGGGAAGGUCAGCUUUUUUUUUUUUUUUUCACUUUUUUUAUUUUUUGGAAGGUCAGCUUCUUUUAGGUUUUAGGAGGACAUUGGGGAGGCUUGCUUUGAACCAAAGUUCACUGGAGAAGAACAAGAGUUUGAGGUUGUGGCAGUUUCCCAUCAAAGUGCAAGCGGUGGUUAGUGCCUGGUUGCUGGGGCAAGGAGGGCUCUAUCCUUCUUUUUCUUACAGGCAGGAGCUGAACUGCCUAUGUGAAAAGGUUCCCCCUUGUCAGAAUAAUUUUUGUUUUCCUUCUUCCUGCUGGUUAGGCAGGCCGCAAGGAGUGGUACGUGCUUGAGAGCUCCCCUUUCAGGGCUUCCUGGCUCCAUUUUAAGUGAGAUUUCCUUUAUUUAUUUUCAACAUCAACAUCAGAAAAGGCCGCUCUGGGACCGCGACGAAUCAAGACAGAAGAAGUGAGACCACUCCGUGGUCACGUCGGAACGGAGACAAAAAAAGAAGAAUGUUGUCCGAACAACAAAAUGCACCAAACACCCCCCCUUAUCCUGGCUAAUACGAGUAGCUGCUACUCCUUUACCAGUUUGCAGCUUUGGCCUCACUCUGUUUUUCCUUUCUUCCGGGUAAGAUUUAUUCAGUUACCCAAUCACUGAAUUACCCUGACUUCCCGAAAGCAUCUGUAGGGCGGGGGAGAUCUUUUUCCUUCUGCCCUUCGAGGUUCUUGGGGUGGGGGUGGGGGUAUGGCUGGGGCUUUGUCACAAAAGACAGAUUAACGAGAGAAAAACAAACGGAAGUUUAUUAGUGUGUAUAUCUCAUAUAUACAUGGGAGAAACUUAGGGAUGAGUAACUCAAUGGGGUGGCUAGAACUUGGGCUUAUAUAGCUCCUUAACACAGAAGGAACAGGAAAAAGAGAAAAAAAGAAAGGAAAAAAUAAAUAAAUAAAUAAAUUUUCAGAGAAGUGACAAGACAAAGUAAAAGGGCUUUGAGUUUCUAGGGUGGCAAACUGUAGGAAGUUAAAUAUAGGGGGGAAUAGGAGAAGAUAAGGGCCGUCCAGUAAAGUUUGUUACGUAGAGUCCUCUGGUGCCAGUCUCUGGGCCGAUAAGGAUCUAGGGUUGUCAGUGAUCAACUUCUGUACACAUUUCUGUCCUGCUUUGAGGCAAAUCGGAAGAGGGCAGAGUUCUUCCUUCUAUCUGUUUCAGCUCAAAAUCAUCUUUCUGCCAAAGUGGCAUAUUGGGGGGUGGGCGGUGGGGGGUGGGUUAGCAAAUGCUGCUACCCUUCACACCCCAUUCAAAGGAAGGCCUCGCUUGCUUAAACUGUCCCGCAAGCCCACAUCCUAUACGUAAUAAGCCAUUCCUGACACCCUCGCCCCGAAGCGCGUCCCCUCUCACUUUUGCAACUAGGAUAACCCAAUUCGUCUCAUCACGGGCGUGUUCCUGGUGGUCUUUGGCUGGAUGGUGUUGGCAAGUUAUUAAGAGGCUCCACCGAAGGACCCCUCUGGUAACUGCAAUAUGGAAUGAGUUUUGUUCUGUUUAAGAGGCAAGGUGUUCUCUUUUUUUCAUUACAUCCAUCUGAAGGGUCUCGUGACUAAGGUCUUAUUAGCUGAUAAUAAAUGACCUUUUCCCAACAAUAGCUAGCCCCUUCAAGGUCCUGGAAACCUUGCUUCCAAAAUUCCUUAGAGACUUGGGCUAUCCCUAACCCUUCCCAGCUGGAAAGUAUAUAAUGGACCACUCCUCAUGACCCCAGUGCAGCUCUUUCUGCCCCCGGGCCCUGUCCCCGUGCUUUCGCGAAACCGCCGUUUUGCACCCGAGACGUCUCAGGAAUUCUUUCUUGUCCGUUGGCUUCGAACCUUAACGUUCUUUCCUACAUCAUGGGGCGCCCCGGACGUGGGGAGACUCUGGGUCCAGAGUCUCAUCUGGACUCAGCCUCGGUGCAAACUUGGCGAGUGCUUUCUCUUCUCUUCCUUUACUCUCAUUUUCGGGGCUCUUCAAGGAGCACGGUCUUCCUGGAACACUUUCACGCCGAUUGCUCAGGCUGCAAUCCUCUAGCCCGUGGCAACUCUACUGGGAGGAGAAAGCCUGCCUUUUGGCUGGAAGUUAGUAGUACCCUGGCCGGGAUGGUAACAAGACGCAGAGACUCGAUGCCCUCUCUUAUUCCUGUCCUUACACAAAGUUGUCUGUCUUGGGCACGGGCCAGCCACCUGAGUCACCAGGACGGCUGCCAACCUUAAGACUCCCGUGUGAGGUUUCCUCCUGAUUGAUCUAAUGGGAUCCCCUUCACAUCCCUGGUCUAGCCGCUUCUGGCCGCGGGACCUCCAGUGGGAGCCGGCAGAAACCAGUACCCGAUGGAAUUAGAACCCAACCGGGGACCGUUUCCUAGGGAAGUUCGCUGUAAGGACUGCCUGUGUUGGAAUGUCGCUUGGAUCAUGGUGGAUUUCUGUCUUUACUGUUUUCCAUCAACUGAGUACUUAGUCCUCUACUAAGUACUUAAGCUACAAAAUUCGGUAAUUUCCCCUUGUAAAACUUUCCUAGUGUUGUCCAUGGGUUAAAAACAGCAAGUUCUUGGGGCGCCUGGGUGGCUCAGUCGUUAAGCGUCUGCCUUCGGCUCAGGUCAUGAUUCCAGGUCCUGGGAUCGAGCCCCGCGUCGGGCUCCCUGCUCGGCGGGAAGCCUGCUUCUCCCUCUCCCGCUCCCCCUGCUUGUGUUCCCUCUCUCGCUGUGUCUCUCUCUGUCAAAUAAAUAAAUAAAAUAUUAAAAAAAAAAAAAACAAAAAA
This is a long non-coding RNA of Mirounga angustirostris (Northern elephant seal), 5616 nucleotides long. RefSeq lists it as uncharacterized. The transcript has 6 exons. Lineage: Eukaryota; Metazoa; Chordata; Mammalia; Carnivora; Phocidae. The record is from RefSeq and is a predicted model, not a curated record.